Long non-coding RNA from Carassius auratus (goldfish), 432 nucleotides. NCBI's taxonomy places the organism in Eukaryota, Metazoa, Chordata, Actinopteri, Cypriniformes, Cyprinidae. The record is from Ensembl.
AUUCACACACUAGUGGUUUCCUCAAGUCCUUUCUGAGAAAAUGUGCUAGUGGCAUGCCCCGAACAUGGAUUGGUGCUCAUGAUGCAAUUAAGAAUAAUGUCUGGUUUGGAAUGAUGGCUCAAAGUUUGACUACAGUGACUGGCUUACUGGUGAGCCAAAUGAUAAUGGAGGAAACGAAAAUUGUGUGGAGCUGGCCUAUGGAGCUGAGCAACGCUGGAAUGAUCUGGACUGUGCCACUCCUCUCAAUUUCAUCUGUUUGAUUUCUCUUCCUGCUUGUUAAUCUCGUCUGUCCAUCACCCGAGAGGAUUUGGUUUUUGGAUUAGUCUUAGUCUCUGCAAAAAAUAAAAGUGAGGUGGACUUUAAACCGCAAAUGUAUGUUUUGAACUUGUCUCUUUCUUGAGGGUGUUGUUAAACUCUAAAACUGACCCUUUG